GCUUCAAACCCAUUAUCAUUCCCCUGGUGUUCGAUUGGGUUCAAUUCUCUU
This 51-nucleotide transfer RNA is filed under the name Thalassiosira punctigera. RNAcentral's name for it is "partial Selenocysteine transfer RNA". The record is from RNAcentral. Lineage: Eukaryota; Bacillariophyta; Thalassiosirophyceae; Thalassiosirales; Thalassiosiraceae.